AUCUAUUUAGUAUAAAUAAUAUAAUUGACCUCCAAUCAAAAGAUCUUAAAUAUAAGAAUAGAUA
Molecule: transfer RNA, 64 nt
Filed under: Anaxandra taurina
Lineage: Eukaryota; Metazoa; Arthropoda; Insecta; Hemiptera; Acanthosomatidae
Description: tRNA-Gly
Source: RNAcentral